Non-coding RNA from Pelobates cultripes (western spadefoot toad), 221 nucleotides. The record is from the annotation of a GenBank genome assembly. Lineage: Eukaryota; Metazoa; Chordata; Amphibia; Anura; Pelobatidae.
CAUGAUAAAUGCUAACACUGGAGUGGGCGAUGAAGACUUCACUCUGUCGAAUCCGUGGUUAUUCCUCAGUUAACCAUCAAACAUAGUUUUAUUACUGAAUGAGUGGUCUCUAGGUAUGGUCAUUAAAUCUAUCAAUGUACCAGCUUGUACAGUCCUUCAUACAGGGAGUCACAGACGAUCGUACAAGGCUCAUGAAAUGUUUUUUUUUACCGAGUAGUCAC